AACGCAAAGUUUGAUGCGUCGCAACGGUAACAGGAAGCAGCUUGCUGCUUUGCUGACGAGUGGCGGACGGGUGAGUAAUGUCUGGGAAACUGCCUGAUGGAGGGGGAUAACUACUGGAAACGGUAGCUAAUACCGCAUAACGUCGCAAGACCAAAGAGGGGGACCUUCGGGCCUCUUGCCAUCGGAUGUGCCCAGAUGGGAUUAGCUAGUAGGUGGGGUAACGGCUCACCUAGGCGACGAUCCCUAGCUGGUCUGAGAGGAUGACCAGCCACACUGGAACUGAGACACGGUCCAGACUCCUACGGGAGGCAGCAGUGGGGAAUAUUGCACAAUGGGCGCAAGCCUGAUGCAGCCAUGCCGCGUGUAUGAAGAAGGCCUUCGGGUUGUAAAGUACUUUCAGCGGGGAGGAAGGGAGUAAAGUUAAUACCUUUGCUCAUUGACGUUACCCGCAAAAAAACCACCGGCUAACUCCGUGCCAGCAGCCGCGGUAAUACGGAGGGUGCAAGCGUUAAUCGGAAUUACUGGGCGUAAAGCGCACGCAGGCGGUUUGUUAAGUCAGAUGUGAAAUCCCCGGGCUCAACCUGGGAACUGCAUCUGAUACUGGCAAGCUUGAGUCUCGUAGAGGGGGGUAGAAUUCCGGGUGUAGCGGUGAAAUGCGUAGAGAUCUGGAGGAAUACCGGUGGCGAAGGCGGCCCCCUGGACGAAGACUGACGCUCAGGUGCGAAAGCGUGGCGAGCAAACAGGAUUAGAUACCCUGSUAGUCCACGCCGUAAACGAUGUCGACUUGGAGGUUGUGCCCUUGAGGCGUGGCUUCCGGAGCUAACGCGUUAAGUCGACCGCCUGGGGAGUACGGCCGCAAGGUUAAAACUCAAAUGAAUUGACGGGGGCCCGCACAAGCGGUGGAGCAUGUGGUUUAAUUCGAUGCAACGCGAAGAACCUUACCUGGUCUUGACAUCCACGGAAGUUUUCAGAGAUGAGAAUGUGCCUUCGGGAACCGUGAGACAGGUGCUGCAUGGCUGUCGUCAGCUCGUGUUGUGAAAUGUUGGGUUAAGUCCCGCAACGAGCGCAACCCUUAUCCUUUGUUGCCAGCGGUCCGGCCGGGAACUCAAAGGAGACUGCCAGUGAUAAACUGGAGGAAGGUGGGGAUGACGUCAAGUCAUCAUGGCCCUUACGACCAGGGCUACACACGUGCUACAAUGGCGCAUACAAAGAGAAGCGACCUCGCGAGAGCAAGCGGACCUCAUAAAGUGCGUCGUAGUCCGGAUUGGAGUCUGCAACUCGACUCCAUGAAGUCGGAAUCGCUAGUAAUCGUGGAUCAGAAUGCCACGGUGAAUACGUUCCCGGGCCUUGUACACACCGCCCGUCACACCAUGGGAGUGGGUGCAAAAGAAGUAGCGUAGCUUACACCUUUGGGAGCACGCUACCAUCGGGUUCUGCCCAAAAA
RNAcentral lists this ribosomal RNA (1444 nucleotides) under Escherichia fergusonii. RNAcentral describes it as "bacterial SSU rRNA". It matches the Rfam family "Bacterial small subunit ribosomal RNA". Lineage: Bacteria; Pseudomonadati; Pseudomonadota; Gammaproteobacteria; Enterobacterales; Enterobacteriaceae. The record is from RNAcentral.